This 1922-nucleotide long non-coding RNA is filed under the name Salmo salar (Atlantic salmon). RNAcentral describes it as "lncRNA (ENSSSAG00000102473.1)". The record is from RNAcentral. Lineage: Eukaryota; Metazoa; Chordata; Actinopteri; Salmoniformes; Salmonidae.
CGCGCCACAGGCUUCAAGUGGCUUUUACGUAGGUGGGACGAAUUCGUCCCGCCUAGCCCAGAGAGGUUAAUAAACAUGACCCUGGACUCUUUAAAAACAAAUAUGUUCAGUACAGUUGCAGUAUAUGAUGCUCCUCUGACCUCCUGUCAGUGUGACUGGUGCUCCAAUUGCAACUGUUAAUGCAUAUGGUGUUUAUUUGUGCCAGUGGAGAGACUGUGAGGAGUCUGUGAAAGAGAAAAUAUGUGAGUGAGAGAGUAAAAAGAAUGAAAGGCAAAAGAAAAUGUGAACAAACACAUCAGCGACGCCAUCCAUUGGUGUUGACCUGUUGACACUUCCCGCAAUAUUUUGAGCCAUGUGUGUACCAAUAGGACUUCUUUACUUCCACUGACUAAAUGUAACAAGAUAGAGACAACUAACACCACAGUGUAAAACAGCAAAGAGAAUGCUGUAAGUGGUAGGGAGAGAAGUGCAGGGUAGGAGCGGCUAAUGGCUUAAUGGAUAGAUCUGUCUUUGUUCAGUUGUGUACCGAGAAACAUAAUUCUCCUGAAGGGUUUAUUCAGUCAUGUAUUUGUUUUUGUAUCCUUUUGACGGGGGUGUAACAUGUUACUCUUACUAACAUGUUAAUUCACACAUACAGUAUACACACCGAAGAACAUGGCUGAAGUUUUACAUUCUCCUAACCAUUUGUGUUAUUUUUUUUUUUUUUGCGUUUUGUGUAACAUAUUUUAUUAACUUAUUGUGUACAUAAUGUUGCUGCUACCGUCUCUUAUGACCGAAAAUAACUUCUGGACAUCAGAACAGCGAUUACUCACUGCGGACUGGAAGAAACGUUUUCCUUUAACGAGUCCAAUGAGAAGGAUAUCCUGAUUUCACUGGAACAGGCCCAGAUCGUAAAGAAAAGAUGCAGGAAAAGGGGGCGCAGAUCGGGCAGCCUUCUGAGAAUCAGUAGGCAAGCGAGUAAACUCCUACUGCCAUCCGUUCUUCUUGCUAAUGUGUAAUCAUUGGAAAAUAAAAUUGAUAACCUACCAUUUAAGAUUAUCAUACUGUCACGGAUAUGUAGGGCAGGAGGAAGGAGCAGAGUCAAAUGCAGGAUACGAUUGUUCGGUAGGCUGAAGUUUAUUGAUACCCAACACACUAGGUGUAUCAAAAGCACAGGGAUCGCACAAAACCCCAAAAGGGAAAACAGGUAAUCCAAUGAAGAGAGAAAAAUAUGCACGGGGCGCAGCCCGGCUAGGAUCAAUAUUCCAAUAUAAAAACGCUGGAGCAAAAACACAACGUACAACCCUACUGCCCCUUGACAAACAAAUAGUCCCGCACAACACACAACCCCAAAGGAACAAACUAAAUACCCCCCCCACUAAUGACAGAAACGAAAACAGGUGCGGACCUAGACAGUCAAAACACAAUGAACACAGAAACACAGAUCGGCGGCAGCUAGUAGACCGGCAACGACGACCGCCGAGCGCCGCCCGGCCGAGGAGGGGCACCAUUUUCUGUGGAUACUGUGACACAUACCAACGGGACAUUAAGUGUGGAAAUCUGAGGUUUGUAGUUUUUCAAGUGAUUCCCUAUCCAAUAUACAGUGUCUGUGGGGUCAUUUUACACUUCCUAAGGCUUCCACUAGAUCUCAACAGUCUUUAGAACGUUGUUUCAUGCUUCUACUGUGAAUUGGGAGAGAAUAAGAGGUCCUGGAAGUAGAUGAGUGAGAAAAUGACAUGAGUUCAGUAGUGCGCACUCACGUGAGAGUUAGCUGUGUUCAUUUUCUUUUUGGAAGACAAAGGAAUCAUGCGGUUGGAAUAUUGUGGAAGAUUUAUGAUAAAACAUCCUAAAGAUUGAUUCUAUACAUCGUUUGACAUGUUUCUAUGAACUGUAAUAUAACUUUUUUGACUUCUCGUCUGAACUUAACAUCUCUAGGGUAGGUG